UCCGGAAGGGCUUGAUUGACGUGGAGA
RNAcentral lists this non-coding RNA (27 nucleotides) under Homo sapiens (human). Lineage: Eukaryota; Metazoa; Chordata; Mammalia; Primates; Hominidae. The record is from RNAcentral.